Molecule: ribosomal RNA, 481 nt
Filed under: uncultured bacterium
Lineage: Bacteria
Description: partial 16S ribosomal RNA
Rfam family: Bacterial small subunit ribosomal RNA
Source: RNAcentral
GAUGAACGCUGGCGGCGUGCCUAACACAUGCAAGUCGAACGGAAAUUACGGACGGAAGUUUUCUGAUGGAAGCCUGUACUUCUUAGUGGCGGACGGGUGAGUAACGCUUGGGCAACCUGCCCUAUCCAGGGGGAUAGCAGCUUGAAACGUCUGGUAAGCCCGCAUAAGUCGGCGAGACGGCAUGGUUUUGCCGUGAAAUGAGCAAUCAGGUAUAGGAUGGGCCCGCGUCCGAUUAGCCAGUUGGCAGGGUAAAAGCCUACCAAAGCAACGAUCGGUAGCCGGACUGAGAGGUCGGACGGCCACAUUGGGACUGAGACACGGCCCAAACUCCGACGGGAGGCAGCAGAGGGGGAUAUUGCACAAUGGAGGAAACUGUGAUGCAGCGACGCCGGGUGAGUGAAGAAGUAGGUCGGUAUGUAAAGCUGUAUCAGCAGAGAAGAUGAUGACGGUACCUGACUAAGAAGCCCCGGCUAACUACGUG